This is a long non-coding RNA of Cucurbita maxima (winter squash), 279 nucleotides long. RefSeq lists it as uncharacterized. NCBI's taxonomy places the organism in Eukaryota, Viridiplantae, Streptophyta, Magnoliopsida, Cucurbitales, Cucurbitaceae. The transcript is spliced from 3 exons. The record is from RefSeq and is a predicted model, not a curated record.
GAAGUGUGAAAGAAAAGGAUUGAGAGAAAGUUUGAGAGAGAAAACUGAACAGCCGGAGUUUUCGUCAGAGAGUCGCCGACGGAAUCCAUUUCCUACUAAGACCUACACUCUAGAGUCCUUGGAGUGAAGUAAGAACUCGUGUUGUUGAGAUUUCCUCCUCUUUCGUCAAGAUCAGAAAGAAAACCCGCAAGGGAAGAUCCGCCACUGAUUUUGGUGAGGAAAUCGGAUGAAACGUCGAGAUCUGAGAAUCUUUCCAAGAACGGAGGAGAGAGAAGUCGC